CUUUCCCUCUGUCGGCAUGCCUUACACAUGCAAGUCGAACGGCAGCAUGAUCUAGCUUGCUAGAUUGAUGGCGAGUGGCGAACGGGUGAGUAAUACAUCGGAACGUGCCCUGUAGUGGGGGAUAACUAGUCGAAAGAUUAGCUAAUACCGCAUACGACCUGAGGGUGAAAGUGGGGGACCGCAAGGCCUCAUGCUAUAGGAGCGGCCGAUGUCUGAUUAGCUAGUUGGUGAGGUAAAGGCUCACCAAGGCGACGAUCAGUAGCUGGUCUGAGAGGACGAUCAGCCACACUGGGACUGAGACACGGCCCAGACUCCUACGGGAGGCAGCAGUGGGGAAUUUUGGACAAUGGGCGAAAGCCUGAUCCAGCAAUGCCGCGUGUGUGAAGAAGGCCUUCGGGUUGUAAAGCACUUUUGUCCGGAAAGAAAUGGCUCUGGUUAAUACCUGGGGUCGAUGACGUUACCGGAAGAAUAAGGACCGGCUAACUACGUG
Molecule: ribosomal RNA, 490 nt
Filed under: uncultured bacterium
Lineage: Bacteria
Description: partial 16S ribosomal RNA
Rfam family: Bacterial small subunit ribosomal RNA
Source: RNAcentral